This 253-nucleotide ribosomal RNA is filed under the name uncultured bacterium. Its description in RNAcentral is "partial 16S ribosomal RNA". It matches the Rfam family "Bacterial small subunit ribosomal RNA", at positions 524 to 776 of the family's 1533-position model. The record is from RNAcentral.
UACGGGGGGGGCAAGCGUUGUUCGGAAUUACUGGGCGUAAAGGGCGCGUAGGCGGCCUUCUAAGUCGGACGUGAAAUCCCUCGACUUAACCGAGGAACUGCGUCCGAUACUGAAAGGCUUGAAUCCGGGAGAGGGAUGUGGAAUUCCAGGUGUAGCGGUGAAAUGCGUAGAUAUCUGGAGGAACACCGGUGGCGAAGGCGGCAUCCUGGACCGGUAUUGACGCUGAGGCGCGAAAGCUAGGGGAGCAAACGGG